AGUGAACGCUGGCGGUAGGCCUAACACAUGCAAGCCGAACGGCAGCACAGUAAGAGCUUGCUCUUACGGGUGGCGAGUGGCGGACGGGUGAGGAAUACAUCGGAAUCUACUUUUUCACGGGGGAUAACGUAGGGAAACUUACGCUAAUACCGCAUACGACCUACGGGUGAAAGCAGGGGAUCUUCGGACCUUGCGCGAUUGAAUGAGGCGAUGUCGGAUUAGCUAGUUGGCGGGGUAAAGGCCCACCAAGGCGACGAUCCGUAGCUGGUCUGAGAGGAUGAUCAGCCACACUGGAACUGAGACACGGUCCAGACUCCUACGGGAGGCAGCAGUGGGGAAUAUUGGACAAUGGGCGCAAGCCUGAUCCAGCCAUACCGCGUGGGUGAAGAAGGCCUUCGGGUUGUAAAGCCCUUUUGUUGGGAAAGAAAAGCAGCAGGUUAAUACCCCGCUGUUCUGACGGUACCCAAAGAAUAAGCACCGGCUAACUUCGUG
RNAcentral lists this ribosomal RNA (492 nucleotides) under uncultured bacterium. RNAcentral's name for it is "partial 16S ribosomal RNA". It matches the Rfam family "Bacterial small subunit ribosomal RNA", at positions 29 to 507 of the family's 1533-position model. The record is from RNAcentral.